RNAcentral lists this ribosomal RNA (243 nucleotides) under uncultured bacterium. RNAcentral's name for it is "partial small subunit ribosomal RNA". It matches the Rfam family "Bacterial small subunit ribosomal RNA", at positions 26 to 285 of the family's 1533-position model. The record is from RNAcentral.
AGAAUCAACGCUGGCGGCGUGCCUAACACAUGCAAGUCGAACGAGAAAGGAUAGCAAUACCUGAGUAAAGUGGCGCACGGGUGAGUAACACGUGACUAACCUACCCUGGAGUGGGGGAUAACUGAGGGAACCUUAGCUAAUACCGCAUAAUACCUACGGGUCAAAGGAGCAAUUCGCUUCAGGAGGGGUCGCGGCCGAUUAGUUAGUUGGCGGGGUAAUGGCCCACCAAGACGAUGAUCGGUA